CUCAAAUUGAUUUAAAAGAAAUGGUAACCAGCCAAAGGCAUGGCACCACAGAUCACAAAGUUUGGAAAAUGGUAAUUAAUAUGGGGAAGGUACAUUGAACACAAUAACCAUCAUACUUCCUAACAACUUUGAAUUCCACUGUUUAGAUUGCUUCAAUAUCGAAGAUCUUUUGACGGCUAAGGUGCCCCAAGUGAGUGAUGCUUCAUCUGAUGCAGUUACUUGUCA
RNAcentral lists this long non-coding RNA (225 nucleotides) under Medicago truncatula (barrel medic). RNAcentral's name for it is "long non-coding RNA (MTRU_LNC006777)". The record is from RNAcentral. Lineage: Eukaryota; Viridiplantae; Streptophyta; Magnoliopsida; Fabales; Fabaceae.